Molecule: long non-coding RNA, 312 nt
Organism: Rosa chinensis
Lineage: Eukaryota; Viridiplantae; Streptophyta; Magnoliopsida; Rosales; Rosaceae
Exons: 3
Source: RefSeq, a predicted model, not a curated record
CUUUGCCUGUCCGAGAUCUAGUAAACUUCUUGGCAUGCAACUGGGCUUGAUCAAAUAGAAUUUCCUCACCUCUCUUUCCGGUUGAAGCCCUCAGGAAAACUCACCUUUUUGGUUGGUCUGUGGAUCUUGUGAGGUUGGUGGUUGCUACAAGGUUGCAUUGAGGCCAAGUACUGUAAGAGAAAGCUCAGAUUCCAGUUUGUUUUGCAGGUUGUUGCUGUCGAAGCUUGGGUACGGAGGAUUAUAUUUGGAGGCCACAAAUUGUUUUAUCUAAAGUUUAUUUUUCUCUUUAUUUGACAUAUUUGAUCUCAUUAA